RNAcentral lists this ribosomal RNA (502 nucleotides) under uncultured Glomeromycotina. RNAcentral describes it as "partial small subunit ribosomal RNA". It matches the Rfam family "Eukaryotic small subunit ribosomal RNA", at positions 591 to 1092 of the family's 1831-position model. The record is from RNAcentral. Lineage: Eukaryota; Fungi; Glomeromycota.
CCAAUAGCGUAUAUUAAAGUUGUUGCAGUUAAAAAGCUCGUAGUUGAACUUCGGGGUUUACCCAUUGGUCAGGCUUAAUUGUCUGCACUGGUGAGAUGAAUCUCUACCUUCUGAGGAACUUUCAUGCCAUUUAUUUGGUGUGAUGGGAAAUCAGGACUGUUACUUUGAAAAAAUUAGAGUGUUUAAAGCAGGCUAACGUCUGAAUACAUUAGCAUGGAAUAAUGAAAUAGGACGGACUGAUUCUAUUUCGUUGGUUUCUAGGAUCACCGUAAUGAUGAAUAGGGAUAGUUGGGGGCAUUAGUAUUCAAUUGUCGGAGGUGAAAUUCUUGGAUUUAUUGAAGACUAACUACUGCGAAAGCAUUUGCCAAGGAUGUUUUCAUUAAUCAAGAACGAAAGUUAGGGGAUCGAAGACGAUCAGAUACCGUCGUAGUCUUAACCAUAAACUAUGCCGACUAGGGAUCGGACGAAGUUAAUUUUAUAAUGACGCGUUCGGCACCUUACG